UACGGGGGGGGCAAGCGUUGUUCGGAAUUACUGGGCGUAAAGCGUGCGUAGGCGGUUAUGUAAGUCAGAUGUGAAAGCCCCGGGCUCAACCUGGGAAUUGCAUUUGAGACUGCAUAGCUAGGGUGCGGAAGAGGGAAGCGGAAUUUCCGGUGUAGCGGUGAAAUGCGUAGAUAUCGGAAGGAACACCAGUGGCGAAAGCGGCUUCCUGGUCCAGCACCGACGUUCAGGCACGAAAGCGUGGGGAGCAAACAGG
RNAcentral lists this ribosomal RNA (253 nucleotides) under uncultured bacterium. Its description in RNAcentral is "partial 16S ribosomal RNA". It matches the Rfam family "Bacterial small subunit ribosomal RNA", at positions 524 to 776 of the family's 1533-position model. The record is from RNAcentral.